This 777-nucleotide ribosomal RNA is filed under the name uncultured Actinomycetes bacterium. Its description in RNAcentral is "bacterial SSU rRNA". It matches the Rfam family "Bacterial small subunit ribosomal RNA", at positions 566 to 1343 of the family's 1533-position model. The record is from RNAcentral. Lineage: Bacteria; Bacillati; Actinomycetota; Actinomycetes.
GGCUUGUAGGCGGUUCGUCACGUCGGAAGUGAAAACUCAGAGCUUAACUCUGAGCCUGCUUCCGAUACGGGCGAACUAGAGGGAUGCAGGGGAGAACGGAAUUCCUGGUGGAGCGGUGGAAUGCGCAGAUAUCAGGAGGAACACCGGUGGCGAAGGCGGUUCUCUGGGCAUUUCCUGACGCUGAGAAGCGAAAGCUUGGGGAGCGAACAGGAUUAGAUACCCUGGUAGUCCACGCCGUAAACGAUGGAUACUGGGUGUGGGCGGAGUCGAAUCUGUCUGUGCCGAAGUUAACGCGUUAAGUAUCCCGCCUGGGGAGUACGGCCGCAAGGCUAAAACUCAAAAGAAUUGACGGGGGCCCGCACAAGCAGCGGAGCAUGUUCUUUAAUUCGAUGCAACGCGAAGAACCUUACCUGGACUUGACAUGGAGCUGCAAGCGCACGGAAACGUGUGACCUUCGAGGGUGCUUCACAGAUGCUGCAUGGCUGUCGUCAGCUCGUGUCGUGAGAUGUUGGGUUAAGUCCCGCAACGAGCGCAACCCCUGUGGUGUGUUGCCAGCAUUAAGUUGGGGACUCGCACCAGACUGCCGGUGACAAACCGGAGGAAGGUGGGGACAGACGUCAAGUCAUCAUGGCUCUUACGUCCAGGGCUAGAAACGUGCUACAAUGGCUGAUACAAAGGGUUGCAAGACCGCGAGGUGGAGCGAAUCCCAUCAAAGUCAGUCUAAGUUCGGAUCGCAGUCUGCAACUCGACUGCGUGAAGGCGGAGUUGCUAGUAAUC